CCCUUAGAUGUCCGGGGCUGCACGCGCGCUACACUGUAGAAAGCAGCGUGCUUUAAAACCUUUCCUGAAAAGGAUGGGUAACCCCAGCAAAAUUCUACGUGCUUGGGAUAGAGAUUUGCAAUUUUCUCUCUUGAACGAGGAAUUCCCAGUAAGUGCGAGUCAUCAGCUCGCGUUGAUUACGUCCCUGCCCUUUGUACACACCGCCCGUCGCUACUACUGAUUGGAUGUUUAAGCGAGGUUCUCGAACUGCUAGCGACUUAGCUUCGGUGAGGUCGCAGUGUGGGAAGUGAACCUAGCUUUGGUGUCUAGAGGAAGUAAAAGUCGUAACA
This 329-nucleotide ribosomal RNA is filed under the name uncultured eukaryote. Its description in RNAcentral is "partial 18S ribosomal RNA". It matches the Rfam family "Eukaryotic small subunit ribosomal RNA", at positions 1470 to 1796 of the family's 1831-position model. The record is from RNAcentral.